RNAcentral lists this ribosomal RNA (923 nucleotides) under human gut metagenome. RNAcentral describes it as "bacterial SSU rRNA". It matches the Rfam family "Bacterial small subunit ribosomal RNA", at positions 494 to 1414 of the family's 1533-position model. The record is from RNAcentral.
CGGCUAACUACGUGCCAGCAGCCGCGGUAAUACGUAGGGUGCAAGCGUUAUCCGGAAUUAUUGGGCGUAAAGGGCUCGUAGGCGGUUCGUCGCGUCCGGUGUGAAAGCCCAUCGCUAAACGGUGGGUCUGCGCCGGGUACGGGCGGGCUGGAGUGCGGUAGGGGAGACUGGAAUUCCCGGUGUAACGGUGGAAUGUGUAGAUAUCGGGAAGAACACCAAUGGCGAAGGCAGGUCUCUGGGCCGUCACUGACGCUGAGGAGCGAAAGCGUGGGGAGCGAACAGGAUUAGAUACCCUGGUAGUCCACGCCGUAAACGGUGGAUGCUGGAUGUGGGGCCCGUUCCACGGGUUCCGUGUCGGAGCUAACGCGUUAAGCAUCCCGCCUGGGGAGUACGGCCGCAAGGCUAAAACUCAAAGAAAUUGACGGGGGCCCGCACAAGCGGCGGAGCAUGCGGAUUAAUUCGAUGCAACGCGAAGAACCUUACCUGGGCUUGACAUGUUCCCGACAGCCGUAGAGAUAUGGCCUCCCUUCGGGGCGGGUUCACAGGUGGUGCAUGGUCGUCGUCAGCUCGUGUCGUGAGAUGUUGGGUUAAGUCCCGCAACGAGCGCAACCCUCGCCCUGUGUUGCCAGCACGUCAUGGUGGGAACUCACGGGGGACCGCCGGGGUCAACUCGGAGGAAGGUGGGGAUGACGUCAGAUCAUCAUGCCCCUUACGUCCAGGGCUUCACGCAUGCUACAAUGGCCGGUACAGCGGGAUGCGACAUGGCGACAUGGAGCGGAUCCCUGAAAACCGGUCUCAGUUCGGAUUGGAGUCUGCAACCCGACUCCAUGAAGGCGGAGUCGCUAGUAAUCGCGGAUCAGCAACGCCGCGGUGAAUGCGUUCCCGGGCCUUGUACACACCGCCCGUCAAGUCAUGAAAGUGGG